RNAcentral lists this ribosomal RNA (222 nucleotides) under uncultured bacterium. Its description in RNAcentral is "partial 16S ribosomal RNA". It matches the Rfam family "Bacterial small subunit ribosomal RNA", at positions 109 to 334 of the family's 1533-position model. The record is from RNAcentral.
AGUAAUACAUCGGAAUGUGUCUUCUAGUGGGGGAUAACUGCCCGAAAGGGCAGCUAAUACCGCAUGAGGCCUGAGGGUGAAAGCGGGGGAUCGCAAGACCUCGCGCUGGAAGAGCGGCCGAUGUCCGAUUAGCUAGUUGGUGAGGUAAAGGCUCACCAAGGCGACGAUCGGUAGCUGGUCUGAGAGGACGACCAGCCACACUGGGACUGAGACACGGCCCAG